GUGCUCGCUUUGGCAGCACAUAUACUAAAAUUAGAACGAUAUAUAGAAGAUUAGCGUGGCCCCUGUGCAAGGGUGACGGGCAGAUUUUGUGACAUAGUCUGUAUUUCU
This 108-nucleotide small nuclear RNA is filed under the name Moschus moschiferus (Siberian musk deer). Lineage: Eukaryota; Metazoa; Chordata; Mammalia; Artiodactyla; Moschidae. The record is from RNAcentral.